CGGCGAACGGGUGAGUAACACGUGGGCAACCUGCCCUCAGCUCUGGGAUAACUCCGGGAAACCGGGGCUAAUACCGGAUACGACCUUCCCUCGCAUGGGGGUUGGUGGAAAGUUCUUCGGCUGAGGAUGGGCCCGCGGCCUAUCAGCUUGUUGGUGGGGUGAUGGCCUACCAAGGCGACGACGGGUAGCCGGCCUGAGAGGGCGACCGGCCACACUGGGACUGAAACACGGCCCAGACUCCUACGGGAGGCAGCAGUGGGGAAUAUUGCGCAAUGGGCGGAAGCCUGACGCAGCGACGCCGCGUGAGGGAUGAAGGCCUUCGGGUUGUAAACCUCUUUCAGCAGGGACGAAGCGAGAGUGACGGUACCUGCAGAAGAAGCACCGGCCAACUACGUGCCAGCAGCCGCGGUAAUACGUAGGGUGCAAGCGUUGUCCGGAAUUAUUGGGCGUAAAGAGCUCGUAGGCGGUCUGUCGCGUCGGCUGUGAAAACUCGGGGCUCAACCCCGAGCCUGCAGUCGAUACGGGCAGACUAGAGUGCUGUAGGGGAGACUGGAAUUCCUGGUGUAGCGGUGAAAUGCGCAGAUAUCAGGAGGAACACCGGUGGCGAAGGCGGGUCUCUGGGCAGUAACUGACGCUGAGGAGCGAAAGCGUGGGGAGCGAACAGGAUUAGAUACCCUGGUAGCCCACGCCGUAAACGGUGGGUGCUAGGUGUGAGCGGUAUUCCACGCCGUUCGUGCCGCAGCUAACGCAUUAAGCACCCCGCCUGGGGAGUACGGCCGCAAGGCUAAAACUCAAAGGAAUUGACGGGGGCCCGCACAAGCAGCGGAGCAUGUGGCUUAAUUCGACGCAACGCGAGAACCUUACCAAUGCUUGACA
Molecule: ribosomal RNA, 876 nt
Filed under: uncultured bacterium
Lineage: Bacteria
Description: bacterial SSU rRNA
Rfam family: Bacterial small subunit ribosomal RNA
Source: RNAcentral